Molecule: unclassified non-coding RNA, 315 nt
Filed under: uncultured Serendipitaceae
Lineage: Eukaryota; Fungi; Basidiomycota; Agaricomycetes; Sebacinales; Serendipitaceae
Description: sequence contains 5.8S rRNA gene
Source: RNAcentral
GAACGCACCUUGCACCCUUUGGUAUUCCAAUGGGUACACCCGUUUGAGUGUCUUUGUAUUAUCACACUUUCAGUGUCUUAUCGAGACUAAAGUUGUGGAUGUGGACAGUAGUAGUGAUUUUGUCAUUGCUCGUCUGAAAAGAUUUGGUGCAUCGCCGUGUCGACAAAUGAGAUACUUGAUGUGAUAAAUGUCUUGUCAUCAUUGUGUCUUUUAGAGUCACUUGGUUUUUAUGCGCUGUCAAAUCGUCUAUUGGAUAUGGACAAAUAUAUUGACAAUUUGACCUCAAAUCGGGUGGGAUUACCCGCUGAACUUAAG